This 331-nucleotide ribosomal RNA is filed under the name uncultured eukaryote. RNAcentral describes it as "partial 18S ribosomal RNA". It matches the Rfam family "Eukaryotic small subunit ribosomal RNA", at positions 1470 to 1796 of the family's 1831-position model. The record is from RNAcentral.
CCCUUAGAUGUUCUGGGCCGCACGCGCGCUACACUGACGAAGUCAGCGAGCAUGUCCUACGCCGACAGGUGCGGGGAAUCCUGUCAAACUUCGUCGUGAUGGGGAUUGAUUAUUGAAAUUCUUGAUCAUCAACGAGGAAUUCCUAGUAAGCGCAAGUCAGCAGCUUGCGUUGAUUACGUCCCUGCCCUUUGUACACACCGCCCGUCGCUACUACCGAUUGAAUGGUUUAGUGAGAUCUUCGGAUUGGCGCCACUGCGGCUCAGCAAUGGGCUCGGUGGAUGCCGAAAAGUUGAUCAAACUUGAUCAUUUAGAGGAAGUAAAAGUCGUAACA